Molecule: long non-coding RNA, 87 nt
Organism: Aricia agestis (brown argus)
Lineage: Eukaryota; Metazoa; Arthropoda; Insecta; Lepidoptera; Lycaenidae
Exons: 3
Source: RefSeq, a predicted model, not a curated record
UUCAGCGCCCAUCCAAAAUCUACCCGCGACCCACCAGUGGGUCGCGACCCACACUUUGGGAAAUACUGAUCUAUAAUAAUAUUAUUA